RNAcentral lists this non-coding RNA (101 nucleotides) under fish gut metagenome. RNAcentral's name for it is "SAM riboswitch (S box leader)". It matches the Rfam family "SAM riboswitch aptamer (S box leader)". Rfam says of the family: The SAM riboswitch is found upstream of a number of genes which code for proteins involved in methionine or cysteine biosynthesis in Gram-positive bacteria. The SAM riboswitch acts at the level of transcription termination control. The predicted structure consists of a complex stem-loop region followed by a single stem loop terminator region. The record is from RNAcentral.
UUCAUCAAGAGUAGCUGAGGGAUUGGCCCUGUGAAGCUACGGCAACCACACUAAGAGAGUGAACGGUGCCAAAUCCAACGGAAGUUAUUCCGACAGAUGAA